RNAcentral lists this ribosomal RNA (477 nucleotides) under uncultured bacterium. RNAcentral describes it as "partial 16S ribosomal RNA". It matches the Rfam family "Bacterial small subunit ribosomal RNA", at positions 28 to 507 of the family's 1533-position model. The record is from RNAcentral.
GAUUAACGCUGGCGGCGUGCCUAACACAUGCAAGUCGAACGAUGAAACUUAAAUGAUUUCUUCGGAAUGAACUUAAGUGGAUUAGUGGCGGACGGGUGAUUAACGCGUGAGUAACCUGCCUUACACAAGGGGAUAGCCGUUGGAAACGACGAAUAAUACCCUAUGAAACUAUCACUUCGCAUGAAGCGAUAGUCAAAGUGUUAGCGGUGUAAGAUGGACUUGCGUCUGAUUAGCUAGUUGGUGAGAAAAAAGCCCACCAAGGCAACGAUCAGUAGCCGGCUUGAGAGAGUGUACGGCCACAUUGGGACUGAGACACGGCCCAGACUCCUACGGGAGGCAGCAGUGGGGAAUUUUGCACAAUGGGGGAAACCCUGAUGCAGCGACGCCGCGUGAUUUAGAAGGCCUUCGGGUUGUAAAAAUCUUUUGUAUAGGAAGAAAAUGACAGUACUAUACGAAUAAGGUCCGGCUAAUUACGUG